Molecule: ribosomal RNA, 479 nt
Filed under: Neostyriaca brembina klemmi
Lineage: Eukaryota; Metazoa; Mollusca; Gastropoda; Stylommatophora; Clausiliidae
Description: Clausilia brembina klemmi partial 16S ribosomal RNA
Rfam family: Archaeal large subunit ribosomal RNA
Source: RNAcentral
AGCUAGUAGGGUGUAUUUAUUAUUAGUUAGCUCUGCCCGGUGAUGUAAAAUUUAACGGCCGCAGUACACUGACUGUGCAAAGGUAGCAUAAUCAAUUGGCUAUUAAUUGUAGUCGAGUAUGAAGGAGUCCAUGGGGAAAAGCUGUCUCUUUUUUUAUUUCUAGAACUUACUAAGCAAGUGCAAAAACUUGCGUUUUAUUAUAAUAGACGAGAAGACCCUAUAAAUUUUUACUAAUAUUAGAAGAUUUCUUGAUCGUUUUUGUUGGGGCAACAAUGUAACACAAUGAAGUAAUUUACAAUGAAAGUAUGAUUUAAUAAAACGAGUUUUACUAAGAACAACUAAAUUACUAUAGGGAUAACAGCAUAAUUUUAAUAUUAAGAUUGUGACCUCGAUGUUGGAUUAGGAGCUUAACAAAUUAACAGUUUGAUUAAGGGGUUCUGUUCGAACUAUUACACCUACGUGAUCUGAGUUCAGACCGG